Jaculus jaculus (lesser Egyptian jerboa) is the source of this 106-nucleotide small nuclear RNA. Lineage: Eukaryota; Metazoa; Chordata; Mammalia; Rodentia; Dipodidae. The record is from Ensembl.
GUGCUUUCUUUGGCAGCACAUACACUAAAAUGGAGCUAUACAGAGAAGAUUAGCAUGGUUCCUGCACAUGGAGGUCAUGCAAAUUUGAGAGGCAUUCCAUAUUUUA